UGGGGAAUUUUGGACAAUGGGCGCAAGCCUGAUCCAGCAAUGCCGCGUGAGUGAAGAAGGCCUUCGGGUUGUAAAGCUCUUUUGUCAGGGAAGAAACGGCCGGGGCUAAUAUCCCCGGCUAAUGACGGUACCUGAAGAAUAAGCACCGGCUAACUACGUGCCAGCAGCCGCGGUAAUACGUAGGGUGCAAGCGUUAAUCGGAAUUACUGGGCGUAAAGCGUGCGCAGGCGGUUUUGUAAGUCUGACGUGAAAUCCCCGGGCUCAACCUGGGAAUUGCGUUGGAGACUGCAAGGCUGGAGUCUGGCAGAGGGGGGUAGAAUUCCACGUGUAGCAGUGAAAUGCGUAGAGAUGUGGAGGAACACCGAUGGCGAAGGCAGCCCCCUGGGUCAAGACUGACGCUCAUGCACGAAAGCGUGGGGAGCAAAC
RNAcentral lists this ribosomal RNA (426 nucleotides) under uncultured bacterium. RNAcentral's name for it is "bacterial SSU rRNA". It matches the Rfam family "Bacterial small subunit ribosomal RNA", at positions 355 to 773 of the family's 1533-position model. The record is from RNAcentral.